GCCUCAGUAGCUCAGCUGGUUAGAGCGGCGGACUGUUAAUCCGUAGGUCCAAGGUUCAAGUCCUUGCUGAGGCGCUA
This 77-nucleotide transfer RNA is filed under the name Phaeodactylibacter luteus. RNAcentral's name for it is "tRNA-Asn". It matches the Rfam family "tRNA". From Rfam's summary of the family: Transfer RNA (tRNA) molecules are approximately 80 nucleotides in length. Their secondary structure includes four short double-helical elements and three loops (D, anti-codon, and T loops). Further hydrogen bonds mediate the characteristic L-shaped molecular structure. tRNAs have two regions of fundamental functional importance: the anti-codon, which is responsible for specific mRNA codon recognition, and the 3' end, to which the tRNAs corresponding amino acid is attached (by aminoacyl-tRNA synthetases). tRNAs cope with the degeneracy of the genetic code in two manners: having more than one tRNA (with a specific anti-codon) for a particular amino acid; and 'wobble' base-pairing, i.e. permitting non-standard base-pairing at the 3rd anti-codon position. Lineage: Bacteria; Pseudomonadati; Bacteroidota; Saprospiria; Saprospirales; Haliscomenobacteraceae. The record is from RNAcentral.